UUCAGAGGAACCUGCCCUAUAAUUGAUAGUCCACGAUUUAAAUUACUUAUUUUAUUAGUUUACAUUAUCGUCGUAGUUUGAAUAUUUUUUAAGAAUAAUAAUAUUCAAGAAUUUUUAUAAAAAAAUUAAAUCAGGUCAAGGUGUAGUUUAUAAAUAAGAAGAGGUGGGUUACAAAAAAAAUAUUUAUGCGAAUUAAUUUAUGAAAAUUUUUAUGAAGUUGGAUUUGAAAGUAAUUUUAAUUAAUUUAUUAAAAUGAUUUUAGCUCUAAAAUAUGUACAUAUCGCCCGUCACUUUCACUCUAAAGUGGAAUAAGUCGUAACAUAGUAGGUGUACUGGAAAGUGUAUCUAGAACGACAAAUUAGAGCUUGUUAUAAAGCAUUUUAUUUACAUUAAAAAGUUUAUUGUGAAAAUCAAUAUAAUUUGAAUUAUUAUUAUUAUUAUUAUUAUUGAAUAUUUAUUAUUAUUUUUUAAAAAUAAUUUUUUGUUUUAUUAAUAAAAAGAAUAAAUUUAUUUUAUUAUAGAGAAUUAGUAUUGUUGAAGAAAUAUAUUUAAAUAAUUUUAAUAAUAAUUUAUUUUUAGUACCUUGUGCAUCARGGWUUAUUAAAUAAAUAUAAAUAAGUAAAUUUUCUCGAAUUUAAAAGAGCUAUAAAAUUAUAAUUUUUAUUGUUUAAUAAAUAUUAUAAAUAAUUUUAUUGUAAUGAAACGUUAUUCGUUUUUAUAUAUAUCUAGUUUUUUAAGAAAAAAAUUAAAUUUUUUUAAUAAAAAUAUUUUUUUAUAUUUUUAAUUUAAUGUUAUUAUUAGGAAAUAUUUUCAGGGAUGAGCUUGAAAAUAAAAAUUUAUAAAUAAAUAAUUAAUAUUUAAAUAAAUAGGAUUAUAAAUUUUCAUUUUUUAUAGUAUGUUAUAAUUAAUUUAAUUUUUUAUAUGAUUUAAAUUUAUUUUAAAUUUUUUAUUAAAAUAUUUAUUUAAAUAAUGAAGAUAAAGAAAUAAUGAUAAAAUUAGUAUAAUUUUUUGUAUUAUUAAAAAUUUGUUAGGUUAAAUAAAGGAAUUCGGCAAAUAAUUUUUCACCUGUUUAUUAAAAACAUGGCCUUUUGAUAUUAAUUUAAGGUCUCACCUGCCCAAUGAAUAAUUUAAUGGCUGCGGUAUUUUGACCGUACAAAGGUAGCAUAAUCAUUUGUUUUUUAAUUGAAAGCUAGAAUGAAAGGUUGAAUGAGAAAAUUACUGUCUCUAUUUAAAUUAAUUAAAAUUUUAUUUUUAAGUUAAAAAGCUUAGUUAAAUUUUGAAGACGAGAAGACCCUAUAGAGUUUAAUAAUUUAAAGAGUUAAAUGAUUUAGAAUUUAUUUUAUUUAAUUUUUUUGAGUUAUUUAAUUGGGGUGAUUAAAAAAUUAAAUAAACUUUUUUUUAUAUUUACAUAUAUUAAUGGAUAAUUGAUCCUUAAAUAAAGAUUAAAAGAUUAAAUUACCUUAGGGAUAACAGCGUAAUUUUUUUUUAGAGUUCAAAUUAAAAGAAAAGAUUGCGACCUCGAUGUUGGAUUAAAAUUAAUAUUUGGUGUAGCAGCUAAAUAGGAGGGUCUGUUCGACCUUUAAAAUUUUACUUGAUCUGAGUUCAAACCGGUGUAAGCCAGGUUGGUUUCUAUCUCAAAAAAAAUAAAAUAUUUUAGUACGAAAGGACCUAAAUAUUUAAUUAAUAAUUUAAGAUUUGAAUUAUAUUAGUUAUUUUGGCAGAAUAGUGCAAUAGGUUUAGAAUCUAUAAAUGUAAGUUUUUACAAAUAAUACUUGAUAUUUAAAGAUUUAUUAAUAAUAUUAAUUUCUAUGUUAAUUUUAGCUUUUUGUGUUAUAAUUGGAGUUGCAUUUUUAACAUUAUUAGAGCGUAAAGUUUUAGGAUAUAUUCAAAUUC
RNAcentral lists this ribosomal RNA (1893 nucleotides) under Phrissotrichum tubuliferum. Its description in RNAcentral is "partial 16S ribosomal RNA". The stretch from base 1709 to 1771 matches the Rfam family "tRNA". Lineage: Eukaryota; Metazoa; Arthropoda; Insecta; Coleoptera; Brentidae. The record is from RNAcentral.